This 492-nucleotide ribosomal RNA is filed under the name uncultured bacterium. RNAcentral's name for it is "partial 16S ribosomal RNA". It matches the Rfam family "Bacterial small subunit ribosomal RNA", at positions 29 to 507 of the family's 1533-position model. The record is from RNAcentral.
AGUGAACGCUGGCGGUAGGCCUAACACAUGCAAGUCGAACGGCAGCACAGUAAGAGCUUGCUCUUACGGGUGGCGAGUGGCGGACGGGUGAGGAAUACAUCGGAAUCUACUUUUUCGUGGGGGAUAACGCAGGGAAACUUACGCUAAUACCGCAUACGACCUACGGGUGAAAGCAGGGGAUCUUCGGACCUUGCGCGAUUGAAUGAGCCGAUGUCGGAUUAGCUAGUUGGCGGGGUAAAGGCCCACCAAGGCGACGAUCCGUAGCUGGUCUGAGAGGAUGAUCAGCCACACUGGAACUGAGACACGGUCCAGACUCCUACGGGAGGCACCAGUGGGGAAUAUUGGACAAUGGGCGCAAGCCUGAUCCAGCCAUACCGCGUGGGUGAAGAAGGCCUUCGGGUUGUAAAGCCCUUUUGUUGGGAAAGAAAAGCAGCAGGUUAAUACCCCGCUGUUCUGACGGUACCCAAAGAAUAAGCACCGGCUAACUUCGUG